CAACUGUUAAGUCCCAGCCUGAACCACUGAUUCAGCACCUGGGGAAAGGACCCGGUCAGCCCUGGGAGCACAGGUGAAGGCAAUUCGGCUGUGUGACCAGAAGGGGUGGAGCCUGGCUGCACCUCUCUUAGACCUCAUUUAAGUGCUGACUGCCCCUGGGGAAGGGUCUCUUUCUGGAGAUCCCUCCUUGGUGGAUUUUUCCCCUCUGAACCUGGAAUCUUCUGGUAUGGAUGCUCAUCUUGCAAUGGGAUCCAAUGCCUUCUAAGGGAUUGAGCCACCCCACUGCCUUCAAUGCAGGUAGGGUGUCACAGAAAGAGCUCAGCACAAAUGUGACAGGGGCUUGAAUGUCCCUGAUGCUGUGAUGGGGGGUGGGACCCCAGUCAGCCCUGUCCUGGCAGUGUGACCCCUGGAGGAGGUAGAGAGGUUGUGGUGCAGCAUGGGAGAGCAAUGUGCACCUGCUGGAGGAGGAGAAGAAAAUGGGGAGCCCCAAACUGCUGGAGUGUUAAUGAACUCUGGUGCUUCUGGUGUCUCCUGUGUUUGUUUUUCCUUGCUGAGCCCAACCGUAAAUAUAAAGCAAAUAUAAAUGCUUAUGUACCAGUAAUGUCUUGUUUUCCCUCUCUCUUCCCAAAGUCACCCUGCUGUACUGUGAACCCCCAACAUAUUGUUAAUUAGGAAUGAAUCAGUGUGCCUCUGAUUAAAAUCCUUCCUACUUCAUGGCUUUUAACUAACUACAGUGUCUCUGGGUUUGUGCCAGCUUUGGUUUUAAACCUUUGAAGAAUCUCUAAUCCGCACAGCACAGACCAGCCAAUUAUUUUUUGUUAUAAACAGUAAAUAUCUAUCGAACAUAGAUAUUUUUGUUGCAGAUAAGGAUGCUCCUUGAGGAGCUCAGUAUCCUUCUCCAUAAUUUGCUGGGGUAGAAAAUACCUGAGAUGUACUUUAAUCAACUUUGUACUGUGUGGG
Long non-coding RNA from Gallus gallus (chicken), 960 nucleotides. The record is from Ensembl. Lineage: Eukaryota; Metazoa; Chordata; Aves; Galliformes; Phasianidae.